AUAGCAGCGGUCGCCGCAUUUCGCAUCAAUCUUUCGCCUUUUACUAAAGAUUGCCGUGCGGCGUCCGCAUUCAAUGCAUCUUUUCUAAUUUUUUCUGGCGCUCCGGCGCCUA
This 112-nucleotide small nuclear RNA is filed under the name Babesia bovis. Its description in RNAcentral is "U5 spliceosomal RNA". It matches the Rfam family "U5 spliceosomal RNA". Rfam says of the family: U5 RNA is a component of both types of known spliceosome. The precise function of this molecule is unknown, though it is known that the 5' loop is required for splice site selection and p220 binding, and that both the 3' stem-loop and the Sm site are important for Sm protein binding and cap methylation. The record is from Rfam by way of RNAcentral. Lineage: Eukaryota; Apicomplexa; Aconoidasida; Piroplasmida; Babesiidae.